Molecule: unclassified non-coding RNA, 201 nt
Filed under: Melitaea cinxia (Glanville fritillary)
Lineage: Eukaryota; Metazoa; Arthropoda; Insecta; Lepidoptera; Nymphalidae
Description: misc RNA ENSMCXG00005014839.1
Source: RNAcentral
ACUAAGGGAUAACACAGUUCCACAACCACCUUGGAACUUAAGAAGCCGACCGAUGGCGGGGUAACCAUCCAACUGCUGGCUUUGAAAUACACAGGCCGAAGACGGGCAGCAGCGUCUUCGGUGCGACAAAGCCACCCCUGCGGUCACCAACCCGCCUGCCCAGCGUGGUGACUAUGGGCAAAACACAUGAGUUCACGUUAU